This 238-nucleotide long non-coding RNA is filed under the name Actinidia chinensis (golden kiwifruit). RNAcentral describes it as "long non-coding RNA (ACHI_LNC000812)". Lineage: Eukaryota; Viridiplantae; Streptophyta; Magnoliopsida; Ericales; Actinidiaceae. The record is from RNAcentral.
AAAAUCAAGAGCAACCAGAGGUUCGUAGGUAUCGUAAUUAUUGUCUGGAUCCAUCUAGGGUACGAAUCGAUAUCUCUGUAUCCGAAAUCAGUCGAUGAUCAGUCUUCGUGUUGAUAUACCUAUUAGAUCGUGUUAGAAUGGAAUCGAACUAGGGUUCUUACGAGUUGCGCAGUAAUCUAGGGUUUUCGAACUUCGAAAGUCGCCGUGACUGAUUGAUCGAUUAGUGUAAGAUAUAAAG